GCGAGGAGGAAGAGAGGAAGAACGCUCGACGCCAUGGCGGUUCCAAGCAUGGACGUCAAUCAAUCGAUCGAGGAAGAGAUGCCGGAUUUCUUCUUCUCUGGAACGACUACUUCAAAGAAGUUCCUCGCUUUCCCGAACAUUUGUUUCGACGAAGAUUUAGGAUGUCGCGUACUUUGUUCAACCGCAUAGCUGAUGGUAUACUUGAGCAUGACUAUGAUGGUUAUUUUACGCAAAAAAGAAGUGCUUCUGGAGCUCUUGGGUUACAUCCUCUACAAAAGAUGACCGCGGCAAUGCGGAUCCUCACAUAUGGAAUAGCAACUGAUGGUGUUGAUGAGUACAUUCGGUCCGCUGAGGCUACUAAUUUAGAGUCUUGCAAGAAAUUUGUAAUCAAAGUUUGUGAAGUUUUUGGGGAAGAGUACCUGAGAUCUCCAAAUGAAGAAGACAUCGCUAGGUUACUUGCAAUAGGGGAGGAAAGAGGAUUUCCCGGUAUGUUAGGGAGCAUAGAUUGCAUGCACUGGGGGUGGAAAAAUUGCCCCAAAAAAUGGCAUGGCAUGUUUAGAGGCCAUGUGAACGAGCCCACUAUGAUCUUGGAAGCAGUUGCUUCACAAGAUCUUUGGAUUUGGCAUGCUUAUUUUGGUUUACCAGGGUCUCUGAAUGAUAUAAAUGUUCUUCAACUAGCAGAAAGCAGUAAAUGUCUUUGUAAUGCAGCUAUCAAUAAAGUUGAGUGAUGUAA
Molecule: long non-coding RNA, 733 nt
Organism: Hordeum vulgare subsp. vulgare (domesticated barley)
Lineage: Eukaryota; Viridiplantae; Streptophyta; Magnoliopsida; Poales; Poaceae
Exons: 2
Source: RefSeq, a predicted model, not a curated record